AGUGAACGCUGGCGGUGGGCCUAACACAUGCAAGUCGAACGGCAGCACAGUAAGAGCCUGCUCUUACGGGUGGCGAGUGGCGGACGGGUGAGGAAUACAUCGGAAUCUACUUUUUCGUGGGGGAUAACGUAGGGAAACUUACGCUAAUACCGCAUACGACCUACGGGUGAAAGCAGGGGAUCUUCGGACCUUGCGCGAUUGAAUGAGCCGAUGUCGGAUUAGCUAGUUGGCGGGGUAAAGGCCCACCAAGGCGACGAUCCGUAGCUGGUCUGAGAGGAUGAUCAGCCACACUGGAACUGAGACACGGUCCAGACUCCUACGGGAGGCAGCAGUGGGGAAUAUUGGACAAUGGGCGCAAGCCUGAUCCAGCCAUACCGCGUGGGUGAAGAAGGCCUUCGGGUUGUAAAGCCCUUUUGUUGGGAAAGAAAAGCAGCAGGUUAAUACCCCGCUGUUCUGACGGUACCCAAAGAAUAAGCACCGGCUAACUUCGUG
RNAcentral lists this ribosomal RNA (492 nucleotides) under uncultured bacterium. RNAcentral's name for it is "partial 16S ribosomal RNA". It matches the Rfam family "Bacterial small subunit ribosomal RNA", at positions 29 to 507 of the family's 1533-position model. The record is from RNAcentral.